AGAGUUUGAUCCUGGCUCAGGAUGAACUCUGGCGGCAUGCCUAACACAUGCAAGUCGAACGGGGUUUAUAUAACGGAACUCUUCGGAGGGAAGAUAUAUAAACCUAGUGGCGGACGGGUGAGUAACGCGUGGGCAACCUGCCCUGUACCGGGGGACAACAGCCAGAAAUGGCUGCUAAUACCGCAUAAGCCUGCUGUGCCGCAUGGCACAGCAGGGAAAACCACGGUGGUACAGGAUGGGCCCGCGUCUGAUUAGUUAGUUGGCAGGGUAACGGCCUACCAAGACAACGAUCAGUAGCCGGCUUGAGAGAGUGGACGGCCACAUUGGGACUGAGACACGGCCCAGACUCCUGCGGGAGGCAGCAGUGGGGAAUAUUGCACAAUGGGGGGAACCCUGAUGCAGCAAUGCCGCGUGGGUGAAGAAGCACUCCGGUGCGUAAAGCCCUGUCAGCAGGGAAGAAAAUGACAGUACCUGACCAAGAAGCCCCGGCUAACUACGUGCCAGCAGCCGCGGUAAUACGUAGGGGGCAAGCGUUAUCCGGAUUUACUGGGUGUAAAGGGAGCGUAGGCGGCGUGGCAAGUCAGAUGUGAAAACCCGGGGCCCAACCCCGGGAGUGCAUUUGAAACUGCCAUGCUGGAGUGCCGGAGAGGUAAGUGGAAUUCCUAGUGUAGCGGUGAAAUGCGUAGAUAUUAGGAGGAACACCAGUGGCGGAGGCGGCUUACUGGACGGUAACUGACGCUGAGGCUCGAAAGCGUGGGGAGCAAACAGGAUUAGAUACCCUGGUAGUCCACGCCGUAAACGAUGA
This 805-nucleotide ribosomal RNA is filed under the name uncultured bacterium. Its description in RNAcentral is "bacterial SSU rRNA". It matches the Rfam family "Bacterial small subunit ribosomal RNA", at positions 8 to 812 of the family's 1533-position model. The record is from RNAcentral.